AAAUCUUGGCCUUUUGGCUAAGAUCAGGUGUAGUAUCUGUUCUUAUUAGACUGUGUUCAGAUAUAGCAAAAGGGGUGACUUGGAGAUGCCCAUAGAGACAGUGUGUGGCACUCAUGUUCCCAAGUCUUCUCUAAUCCAC
This 139-nucleotide small nuclear RNA is filed under the name Salvator merianae (Argentine black and white tegu). RNAcentral's name for it is "U2 spliceosomal RNA (ENSSMRG00000004816.1)". The stretch from base 1 to 94 matches the Rfam family "U2 spliceosomal RNA". Rfam says of the family: U2 is a small nuclear RNA (snRNA) component of the spliceosome (involved in pre-mRNA splicing). Complementary binding between U2 snRNA (in an area lying towards the 5' end but 3' to hairpin I) and the branchpoint sequence (BPS) of the intron results the bulging out of an unpaired adenosine, on the BPS, which initiates a nucleophilic attack at the intronic 5' splice site, thus starting the first of two transesterification reactions that mediate splicing. The record is from RNAcentral. Lineage: Eukaryota; Metazoa; Chordata; Lepidosauria; Squamata; Teiidae.